Molecule: long non-coding RNA, 1158 nt
Filed under: Lynx pardinus (Iberian lynx)
Lineage: Eukaryota; Metazoa; Chordata; Mammalia; Carnivora; Felidae
Source: RNAcentral
UGACAGAGAUCCAGGUGGAGAGAGAAGCAUGCCUGGAGGAUACUCUGUUUUGCAGGGACAUGCUUCUGAGGUUCUGGGUGGAAGGCACUCCUAGGGCCUCGUGUGGGUUAAGGAGCUGUUCUCUAUGGCCUGACCCUUCAGGAGCCCCAGUGAAUAUAUUGCUGCCAUCUUGGAGCUCAGCGCCCUUGUGGUGAAACGGCAGAGGCAGAUAUUCCUGUACCCGGACGUGCUGUACUACCUCACCCCUGAUGGGCGGCGCUUCCGCAGGGCUUGUGACCUGGUGCACAACUUCACAGAUGCCAUCAUCCAGGAGCGGCGCUGCUCCCUCCUUACUGAGGGCUCCCAUGACUUCCUCAAGGCCAAGGCUAAGGCCAAGACUUUGGACUUCAUUGAUGUGCUCCUGCUGGCCAAGGUGGGCUUCCUUGGGAUCAGAAUUCAAGAGUUAGAAUGCACCUUGACUCCAAAUGUCAGAUGGGAGAACUUGGACUUGACCCAGCGGGUACUGAGGAGCCACGGAAGGUGCUUGAGGAAGGGAGAGACAGGUCAGGGAUCUGUUUUAGACAUGACUUUGUAGAAGGCUGCUUGGGAGAAGAAAGCUGCAGACAGGGAGACCUGUGGGAUAGGGCUCUAGAGAUGAUGAGGGACGAAUCCUGCUUUGGUGAUGGAGCCUGAGGGACUGUUUCAGGCGAGACUCAGGUGCCCUCCGAGCCGGUGUGAUUCAGGAGGUCGUGCCCUUUCUGCAGGAUGAAGAUGGGAAGGAACUGUCCCAUGAGGAUAUCCGAGCUGAAGCUGACACCUUCAUGUUUGGGGGUAAGCAUCCCAGUGUGGGACUGCAGGGGGUAGGAGUCUGUCCAAUCCCAGGGACUUGGCAGGUGGGCCCUGGACCACCCCAUCCCACCCCAUCUUCCCCAUCCUCCCUGAGGGCCCUAACGAAGGGCGCUGUCCGCCCUCUGGUGCUGAACAAGCCCAGAGACCCAAGCCUGCCUGGCUGCCUCUCAGGCCAUGACACCACGGCCAGUGGUCUCUCCUGGGUCCUGUACAACCUUGCGAAGCACCCAGAGUAUCAGGAGCGCUGUCGGCAGGAGGUGCAAGAGCUCCUGAGGGACCGUGAGCCUAAAGAGAUUGAAUGGUGAGUGCAGGUCCUCAUGUCCUGUUCUG